GAUGAACGCUGGCGGCGUGCCUAAUACAUGCAAGUCGAGCGAACAGACGAGGAGCUUGCUCCUCUGACGGUAGCGGCGGGCGGGGGAGUAAAACGUGGAUAACCUACCUAUAAGACGGGGAUAAAUUCGGGAAAACGGAGCUAAUACCGGAUAACAUGUUGAACCGCAUGGUGCAACAGUGAAAGACGGUCUUGCUGUCACUGAUAGAUGGAUCCGCGCCGCAUUAGCUAGUUGGUAAGGUAACGGCUGACCAAGGCAACGAUGCGUAGCCGACCUGAGAGGGUGAUCAGCCACACUGGAACUGAGACACGGUCCAGACUCCUACGGGAGGCAGCAGUAGGGAAUAUUCCGCAAUGGGCGCAAGCCUGACGGAGCAACGCCGCGUGAGUGAAGAAGGUCUUCGGAUUGUAAAACUCUGUUAUUGGGGAAGAACAAAUGUGUAAGUAACUAUGCACGUCUUGACGGUACCCAAACAGAAAGCCACGGCUAACUACGUG
This 497-nucleotide ribosomal RNA is filed under the name uncultured bacterium. RNAcentral describes it as "partial 16S ribosomal RNA". It matches the Rfam family "Bacterial small subunit ribosomal RNA", at positions 28 to 507 of the family's 1533-position model. The record is from RNAcentral.